GGAACUCCCAGAUGAUUCUAUUUCUGUUAGGCUUAAGAUUAAUCUGCAAAUAACAUGGCCGGGGACUUUCCUUGUGGCUCACAACGAAAUAACAUGGCCAGUACAGGUGAUGGGCAGAUAGACAUGGAAAUGCCUAGGACACAUAUUCAUCCACUUAUUCCACAAGGACAUAUUAAUACCGGUCUGUGUCCAGGAAAUAAAAAAGGAACCAGACAGUUCAGUCCCUGCUUAAAAACAAGCAGCAAAGAGAUAAACAAGAUGCUUUCAGACAGCAAUAAAUGCCAAAAUAAAAUGGGACCAUGAGAUAUGCAGAAAUUAGAAAAAGUCUACUUUAAAGAGGAAAGUAGGCCUCUCUGAGGUGGAAAAUGUUUGUGCUGAAGCUACACGAGUCAUGCAAAGAUCUGGGAAAGACUGCUUAGGCAGAAGUGGAGCAAAUGUUGAGACACUGAGGGAGCAAGAGCCGCAGAGCACAGGGACAUCAGAUGGAAUGGACGAGAUGGAGGCCAGCUGAUGCCUGGCAGGCCAGGGAAGAAAUUCAAAUCUCAUUUCAAAUCCAGUAGAAAGCAAUGGACAGCUUUUAGCAGGGUAGCUACAUGAUGUGACUUGGAUUCUUUCAGAGAUUCUCCAGGUUGCUGAGAGGGAAAGGGGUUGUAGGGGCAAGAGUAGCAGCAGGAGGAUGAGUUCACCCAGAUGAGAGAAGAGAGGGGGCUUGGGCUCGGAUGUGGGGGAUGUGGGCGGUAGAACUGGAGGGAGGCGGGCACGUCAGGAGUGUGUUCUGAAGGUACAGACAACAGACUUGAUGCGGAGAAUGAAGGAGAGAGGACAACCAAGGAUGAUUCUGGAACUGAUCCCUGACCUGGCUGUCUCCCCUGUGAGGCAGGGAGGUCCUUGCUGGUUGGAAGGAUCCUUUUAAUCUCUUUAUCUUCACCAGCUAGUAUGGGGUUUAGUGUAUAGUUCCCCCAAUAAGUAUUUGUUGGGUGAUGAGUGAAUAAGUGACUGUAAAACAAAUGGAACUCGGGGAAAUACAAAUCAAAACCACAAUCAUUUCACACCUGUCAGAUGGCUAACGUCAAAAAUGUUGGUGAGGAUAUGAAGAACGUACACUAUAUGGGAAUGUAAAUCGGUGCAGCCGUGGUGGAAAACAGUAUGGAGGUUUCUCAAAAAACUCAAAGCAGAGCUACCAUACGACUGAGCAAUUCCAUUUCUGGGUAUAUAUUUGAAAAAGCAAAAACGCUAGUUUAAAAAGAAACAUGCACCCCAGUAUCCACAGCAGCAUUAUUUACAAUUGCCAAGAUUUGGAAGCCACCUAAGUGUCCAUCAACAGAUGAAUGGCUAAAGAUGUGGUACACACACACACACACACACACACACACACACACAAUGGAAGAUUACUCUGCCACAAAAAAAAAGAAUUAAAUUUUGCCAUUUGCAGCAACAUGGAUGGACUUGGAGGGUAUUAUGCUAAGUGAAAUAAGUCAGACAGAGAAAGACAAAUACUAUAUGAUAUCACUUAUAUGUGAAAUCUAAAAUAUACAGCAGGAGUUCCCAUUGUGGCUCAGCAGUUAAUGAAUGUGACUGGCAUCCAUGAGGACACAGGUUCAAUCCCUGGCCUUGCUCAGUGGGUUAAGGAUCCGGCAUUGCCGUGAGCUGUGGUGUAGGUCACAGACAUUGUUCAGAUCCAGCGUUGCUGUGGCUGUGCUGUAGGCAGGCAGCUCCGGCUCCCAUUCGACCCCUAGCCUGGGAACCUCCAUAUGCUGCAAGUGCAGCCCUAAAAAGGCUAAAAUAAAAUAAAAUAAAGAUAGGGGAUUAAGAGGGACAAAUUUUACAUAUAACAUAAGCUACAGGGUUAUAUUGUAGAGCACAAGGAAUAUAGUUAAUAUUUUUAAUAACUAUAAAUGGAGUUUAACCUUUUAAAAUUGUGAAUCACUAUAUUGUGUACCUGUAACACACAAUAUUUUAUGUAUACUAUACUUCGAUUAAAAAAAUACUCCAGUUUACAAAUCCUUUAGAAAGUAAUUCUAUACAUUUGCCAGCAGUGGUGUAACGUAGGGCAAAGGGAGGCGCUGCAGCACUGUUUGUAGUUUCUAAAGAUCAGUGACCAUCAGGGCUCAUUCCAAUGUAGGCUGGUAAAGUGCAUUACAGGGCAUGAACCUUUCAGGGGAUGGUUGUUCAGGAAACUAUGUCCCAAGAGAGGAUGAUUUCUAAGAUACUAUCAAAUGAAUAAAAGCAAGAUAUAACAAGACAGAAAAAAAGAACAAAUGACACUGGUCUCUCUGUUCCUGAAUAAAGAAAGGAAAGAAGUUGGCUGAAAAGAAUUCACAGCACUGUAACUACAGUGGCCAUGACUGACUGGGUUAAAACCCUGGUUCUUGAGACCUCAUCUUUUGUCUUUUUAGGGCCUAACCCUCAGCACAUGUAGGUUCCCAGUCUAGGGGUGGAAUCGGAGCUGUACCUGCCACAGCCACAGCCACAGCAAUGCAGGAUCCGAGCUGAGUCUGUGACCUACACCACAGCUCAUGUCAACACUGGACCCUUAACCCACUGAGCGAGGCCAGGGAUGGAACCCACAACUGCAUGGUCCUGGUCGGAUUCGUUUCCGCUGCGCUAGGACAGGAACUCUGGAAUGUGUUUCUUAUGUAGACAUAAGAAAGAAUGCAUGUGGUUUUUGCUGUUUUAGUCAAGAAGAGAACCACAGUGGAGCCAGGAUAAGCGCAUGCUUCCUAGGAAGUACCGGAAGUCGCUCUGAAACCUAUCUGUGAGUCUUUUUUUUUUUCUUCUUCUUCUUCUUUUAGGGCUGCACCUAUGGCAUAUGGAGGAUCCUAGGCUAGGGGUCAAAUUGGAGCUAUAGCUGCCAGCCUAUGCCACAGCCACACCAACGCAUGAUCCGAGCCGUGUAUGUGACCCACACCGCAGCCAAUGGCAAAGCCGGAUCCUUAACCCACUGAGGGAGGCCAGGGAUCAAACUGGCAACCUCACUGUUCCUAGUCGGAUUCAUUUCACUUGCUCCAUGAUGGGAACUCCAGACAUGAGUCUUUAUGUUUUUCCCUCCUGCUUGUCUUCUGUCUUCCCUUCAAGGGAGCCUUGUAGAUCAAAUGGAAUCUUUCUACCCAAUAAAGUCAUCUAAUUACUCUUCUUUGACGUUUUCCUUGAGAU
RNAcentral lists this long non-coding RNA (3153 nucleotides) under Sus scrofa (pig). RNAcentral describes it as "lncRNA (ENSSSCG00000057455.1)". Lineage: Eukaryota; Metazoa; Chordata; Mammalia; Artiodactyla; Suidae. The record is from RNAcentral.